CGGAAUGAGAGAGCAGAAAAAAAAAGGAAAAAAGCAGAGACCAAGCGAGAAUGAGGAGAGAGAGGGUGACAGAGAAGACUACAGCUGCAAGGAGAGAGAAAUAGUAAGAAGAAAGUAGUAAAAUAAAAGAAAGAUAAGUACUUUGUAAAAGAAGUAUUGUGUUGUUAAUUAAAGCGAUGAAUAAUAAAUAAUUGCUUAAUUACUAUUAAAGUGAAGGGCAGACGUUUAAGUGAUUGUUAAGAGAAGAGAAGGCAGUUUUAAGUUGUUAUGCAAAACUUUUUUAAAGUUUUUAUUUUGCUACUUCAGAAUGAAAGGAGAAUGAGAGGAAAAUGAGAUUAAGAAAGAAAUAUGAAGCUUUUCAAGUAUAACGUGGGAGUAAAUUGGACUGAGGUAAAUCCUCAUUAAUCACCUUCCAGACGAAGGUCACAGGCUCAAGGUACCGGCAACUCGGGCAGUCGCCCGGGGCGCAAAGGAGGGUGUGACAAAGACAAAGAAAUUUCCUCGACCAUCAGCUAGUAGACGCCGAAGUUCAGCUUGCCCGAGACCCUUGGGCCGUCCCUGGUCACAGGUAUUUAUUGCAGAGAAUGCAUAUAUGGCCAACAAGUUCACG
This is a long non-coding RNA of Octopus bimaculoides (California two-spot octopus), 610 nucleotides long. Lineage: Eukaryota; Metazoa; Mollusca; Cephalopoda; Octopoda; Octopodidae. The record is from RefSeq and is a predicted model, not a curated record.